RNAcentral lists this unclassified non-coding RNA (336 nucleotides) under soil metagenome. Its description in RNAcentral is "partial contains 5.8S ribosomal RNA, internal transcribed spacer 2, and large subunit ribosomal RNA". The stretch from base 1 to 120 matches the Rfam family "5.8S ribosomal RNA", at positions 35 to 154 of the family's 154-position model. The record is from RNAcentral.
GAUGAAGAACGCAGCGAAAUGCGAUAAGUAGUGUGAAUUGCAGAAUUCAGUGAAUCAUCGAAUCUUUGAACGCACAUUGCGCCCCUUGGUAUUCCAUGGGGCAUGCCUGUUCGAGCGUCAUUUGUACCUUCAAGCUUUGCUUGGUGUUGGGUGUUUGUCUCGCCUUUGCGUGUAGACUCGACUUAAAAUAAUUGGCAGCCGGCGUAUUGAUUUCGGAGCGCAGUACAUCUCGCGCUUUGCACUCAUAACGACAGCGUCCAAAAGUACAUUUUACACUCUUGACCUCGGAUCAGGUAGGGAUACCCGCUGAACUUAAGCAUAUCAAUAAGCGGAGGA